GGAAGUCCAGAAGAAGCUACUCCUUCCAGCAGGCCUAAUAGGAUGGCAUCUAAUAUUUUUGGACCAACAGAAGAACCUCAGAACAUACCCAAGAGGACAAAUCCCCCAGGGGGUAAAGGAAGUGGUAUCUUUGACGAAUCAACCCCCGUGCAGACUCGACAGCACCUGAACCCACCUGGAGGGAAGACCAGCGACAUUUUUGGGUCUCCGGUCACUGCCACUUCACGCUUGGCACACCCAAACAAACCCAAGUCGAGGUCCUCGGCUGGUUACCUGUGGAGAUUGUCAGCACUUGAC
RNAcentral lists this small RNA (297 nucleotides) under Pan troglodytes (chimpanzee). RNAcentral describes it as "processed transcript". Lineage: Eukaryota; Metazoa; Chordata; Mammalia; Primates; Hominidae. The record is from RNAcentral.